UUCCGUAGGUGAACCUGCGGAAGGAUCAUUACAGUAUUUGGUCGACGGGGGGGUUUCUUUGAUGCUGGCCCCACUAGUGGGGCAUGUGCGCGCCCCCUCGCCGUUACAACACAUACAUACGUCCCUGUGAACCUUAUUGGGGGGCGAGCGUCCCCGGAAGCGCGCCUCCCUUUUUAUAUAAAUCAAAGCCUGUUUAAAACGCAUGUCUGAGCCCCACGGGGUGAAUAAAGUUAAUACAACUUUCAACAACGGAUCUCUUGGCUUUCGCAUCGAUGAAGGACGCCGCGAAAGUGCGAAACGUAAUGUGAAUUGCAGAAUUCAGUGAAUCAUCGAAUCUUUGAACGCAUCUUGCGCUCCUUGGUAUUCCGAGGAGCAUGCCUGUUUGAGUGUCGUGAACCUCUCUCGACCCGACUCCCUGGAGAGUUUGGGUUGGAUUUGGACGCUUGCGGUCCCCAUCGCUCGUCUUUAAAUGCAUCAGCUGGCCCCCCCAUCAAGGUUGGACCGAUGACGGUGUGAUAAUUAACAUGUGUGACGCCGUUCUGGACCAACUUUUCAUAUGUGGGGUCGCUUCUAACCGUCCCUUUGGGACAAAAUGACAAGCCUUUUGACCUCAAAUCAGGUAGGACUACCCGCUGAACUUAAGCAUAU
This 648-nucleotide ribosomal RNA is filed under the name Ramaria sp. RNAcentral describes it as "eukaryotic LSU rRNA". The stretch from base 238 to 392 matches the Rfam family "5.8S ribosomal RNA". The record is from RNAcentral. Lineage: Eukaryota; Fungi; Basidiomycota; Agaricomycetes; Gomphales; Gomphaceae.